GACGAACGCUGGCGGCGUGCUUAACACAUGCAAGUCGAACGGUGAAGCGCCUUCCUUUUUGGUGGGUGUGGAUGAGCGGCGAACGGGUGAGUAACACGUGAGUAUCCUGCCCCCUCCUUCUGGACAACCGCAUGACAGUGUUGCUACUACGGGAUAUUCUGGGUCUGUUGCAUGAUGGGUCUGGGACGGAUUUUGUUUCGGUGGGGGAUGGGCUCGCGGCCUAUCAGCUAGUUGGUGGGGUGAUGGCGUACCAAGGCAGCGAUGGGUAGCCGGCCUGAGAGGGGGGUGGGCGGCCACAGUGGGGCGGAGAGGCGGACAAGCCUACUAGGGGAGGCAGCAGGGGGGAAUAGGGAACGGGGGGAGGAAGGAUGGUGCAGCGACGCGGGGGGGGGGAUGGAGGCCGGCGGGUUGUGAACCGCUUUCGGGAGAGAAGCAGGCUUGAAUCGUCUGUGGGUGGGUUGACGGUAGCUGGAUAAGAAGCGCCGGCUAACUACGUG
This 497-nucleotide ribosomal RNA is filed under the name uncultured bacterium. RNAcentral describes it as "partial 16S ribosomal RNA". It matches the Rfam family "Bacterial small subunit ribosomal RNA", at positions 28 to 507 of the family's 1533-position model. The record is from RNAcentral.